CGGGUGGCCCCUGCCCGGCUCGGUCCGGAUUGCCCGCCGAGGUGCCCCCCUGCCGCAGCCUGGCUGCUCCAUGGAGUGUGAGGACCAGUUGUCUGGGUCGAGACCGUGGGUGGCCCUGCAGUGACAGGCUGUCUCUGCCACCUGCCUGUUCUUGCCGCAGAGGCCGGCUUCAGGGAUGGAGGGAGUGGGCGGGAGAGGACGGGUGUCCCAGGCGGGGCUCAGGGCGUUGGUGGCCUGCUACCCUGCCCCCAGCCUGUGCAGCUGGCCAGGCCGGGGAGUGACCACUGGUGUGAGCUGGUGCCGCCUGCCCUGACUCUGCCCUCCUGUCCCGGUGCCUCCUCACAUCCGCCCUGCAUGGCCCAGUCCAGUGAGCCCGCGCUGGAGGGUCUCGAUGACCCUGCGUCAUGUGGAUGGACCACGUUUUGUUCAUCGCUCCGACAUGGACAGAUGACCUGAGCAGCUUCCCCGUCUUGGCCGCCGCAUCGGGGCGCAUCCCACGGAUGUUUGAUGGCCGUGCUGCUGCGGCUCUCUUCCCCU
Molecule: long non-coding RNA, 537 nt
Filed under: Canis lupus familiaris (dog)
Lineage: Eukaryota; Metazoa; Chordata; Mammalia; Carnivora; Canidae
Description: lncRNA (ENSCAFG00040002704.1)
Source: RNAcentral